This 327-nucleotide long non-coding RNA is filed under the name Capsella rubella. RNAcentral's name for it is "long non-coding RNA (CRUB_LNC001905)". The record is from RNAcentral. Lineage: Eukaryota; Viridiplantae; Streptophyta; Magnoliopsida; Brassicales; Brassicaceae.
AAAUUUUUGCUAAUAUCGGAUAUAUAAAUACAUUAGACAGAAAGGAAAUUACAUAGAACUUUGAUAUUUUGAACCCAAACUCACCUCACAAACAAUAUCAUUAGACUGAAAGGAAAUUACACAUAAAUACUUUUAAUUGGCUAGUAUAUAUUUUUUUUGUUUUUAAUUUUUUUUUUUUGGCUAGUAUACUAUUCACCACAAAAAGCUUACUAAGAAUCUAAGUGUCUAUAGAACCUAAAAACAUAAGUUGUUCCCCUCCUAACCAAUUUGAGUGUAAUGCUCGUUUAGAUUAGAUAACACUAAAUUUUCCACUGAUCUUAGUAUUGU